CUCCAGCCGCAGCGAUGUCUGGAGCUAUGGGGUCACCAUGUGGGAGGCCUUGUCCUACGGCCAGAAGCCCUACAAGAAGAUGAAAGGGCCGGAGGUCAUGGCCUUCAUCGAGCAGGGCAAGCGGAUGGAGUGCCCACCAGAGUGUCCACCCGAACUGUACGCACUCAUGAGCGACUGCUGGAUCUACAAGUGAGUGCCAGUGGGGAGGGGACCCGGCUGGGCUGACCCCUGGAAAGUCCUGGUGCCCGAUGAGUUGAUGUCAACAUAACUCUACCCAAUGUCAUCCCACCCAAAGCCCUUCACCCAGUUCAUGGCCUUUGCAGCUGCCCCCUACCCCCACACCCAGCUCUCCAACACACCAGGGUUUGCUGUCCUGCUCCAGUGUGCCACACCCUGCCACCCCACCUGUGGCCUGUGCCUCAGCAUCUAAAACCUCAGCCAUCACUCAACACAUGGACCCUGCAACACGCAAACGGUUCCAUACUCUGCUACUCAGCCUAUGACACUGACACUCAGGGCAUGAGAUGAUUCUCCAGUACCCAACACUCCAGUCCCCACCAGCCAGCACACAGCACCCAACUACCAGACAGGCGAGCACUGAGGUACCAAAUACUCAUCUAUUCCAGCCCCCACCUCUGCCUGGUUGAAGCCCAACCUU
Molecule: small RNA, 658 nt
Filed under: Pan troglodytes (chimpanzee)
Lineage: Eukaryota; Metazoa; Chordata; Mammalia; Primates; Hominidae
Description: retained intron
Source: RNAcentral